RNAcentral lists this ribosomal RNA (253 nucleotides) under uncultured bacterium. RNAcentral describes it as "partial 16S ribosomal RNA". It matches the Rfam family "Bacterial small subunit ribosomal RNA", at positions 524 to 776 of the family's 1533-position model. The record is from RNAcentral.
UACGUAGGUGGCAAGCGUUAUCCGGAUUUACUGGGUGUAAAGGGCGUGUAGGCGGGACUGCAAGUCAGAUGUGAAAACCACGGGCUCAACCUGUGGCCUGCAUUUGAAACUGUAGUUCUUGAGUACUGGAGAGGCAGACGGGAUUCCUAGUGUAGCGGUGAAAUGCGUAGAUAUUAGGAGGAACACCAGUGGCGAAGGCGGUCUGCUGGACAGCAACUGACGCUGAGGCGCGAAAGCGUGGGGAGCAAACAGG